AAAGAGUAUUUGGAGCUUGCAGACUGAU
RNAcentral lists this non-coding RNA (28 nucleotides) under Cricetulus griseus (Chinese hamster). Lineage: Eukaryota; Metazoa; Chordata; Mammalia; Rodentia; Cricetidae. The record is from RNAcentral.